UCGGCGCGCCUGGCCCCGCCCCCCGCGGGCUUAACCCUCUAGCCGCUGGGCACGCGCGGGCUGCCGGGGCGGAGGCGUACGGGGGUGGCGAGCCGACCUCGGCUCCUCCUCGUCCCGCGCCAGCGCCGCGCCCGGCCGCAUUCUCGGGGCCCGAGGCUCAGCCGCUCGCGGCGGAGAAAGCAGGCCGCGGAGGAGGCGGGCGCCCAGGCCUGCCCGGACAGGAAGUGGGCCCAGCUUUCCCACUCCUCGCUCCGUUCCUUCCUCCGCGGGAAGGGCAGGCCCCGGGGGUGGCCGGGCAGCCGGAUGCUCCCGGGGUUGCGGGCUGUGGCCCCGGGGGCUGAGGGCGGCGCGGGUGCGGCGGAAGCAGGGAAGCCGCGAACCGGCCUUCUCGCUGGCCACAGCGCUCUGCACGGACGAUCAGUGAAUGGCGAUUACUCAAGUAUUUAUCGAGAACUUGCAGUGGGCUAGGCACGGUUCAGGUAGAUCAACAAACCGAAAGACCCUGCCCUAGGGGAGCUUUCGCUCCAAUGCGGGGAAAGGGUGGAUGAUUGCAGUUUUGCCCAGUAAUUUUUGGGACCCUCAUGCCACCAUUAAUUAGCUACACACAUCUCACCGAAAGUCUACCUUACAUAUUAAUCAGAAGAAGUGGAAGAAUAAACACAGAAGAAGCAAAAAAGGAAAGAACUUUCUCACUGAAAGUUUCUAUUUAAUAUUAAGUCUUAAAAGUACUCCUGGAAGGACAAAAGGUGUUCUUAAUAAAUUAUAUUCGCAAAUAUUGGAUUUAAUCCUACCAGUAAUGAAGCAGUCAGUUACUUUCUAGAUGUGCAGAAAUAUGUAAUGAACAAAAAAAAACUAAUUCCUAUUCCAUUUUUUAUUAGGUCCACAGUUAUUUCACUUCUAAAUAUGAUUUUUUAAAAGUGGCACGCGGUGGAAUGUAAUUGAGACAGGAUGGAGUUCCUAGAGAAAUUUUACUUCCUCAAUCUGCACUCCACCUUAUUAACAUACAGUCUUGGGUCUGUAAUUCCCUUAUUUGACUCUCAAGGAAAUGAAAAAGUAAUGCCUAGAUUGGACUAAACCUCAUUUAACUCCAAGACUGACCUUUCUCAAAGUUGAACCUUCGUCUUGUGAGGAACAGAAAGAUCAAGAUCUCUGAAGCACCUCGACUUUCCACCUGUGAAGAUGUGUUCAAAUUUGCAACGUGCGGCCACACCUAUGAGGUCACUCCCUCUGGAGGAAACCAGCUGCCACUUUGUGAGGAUACUCAUAGUCCUGUGGAGGCAUAUCCUCCAUAUGGCUGAGACCUUCUGCCAACAACCAUCACUGACUUGCCAGACAUGAGUGUGCCACCUUGGAAGCAGAUUUUCCAGCCCCAGUCAAGCCUUCAGAUGACAUCAGCCCCUGCUAAUCUCUUGACUACAACCUCAUGAGAGACCCUGAGCCAGAGCCAGGCUUACCCCUCAUGGUUACAAAGUGGCUGCAACAGCUCCAAGUGUUCUAUCCUUUAACACAGAAUAACUCAAACAACAAGACCCAAUAUUCAGACAAGAAGGAAAGGGACUUUUGGAGAGUGAAGAAAACUUUCCUAGAAACCUCAGACUUCUCCCCAUGCCUUAUUGGCCAGAUUGUAUCCCAUGCCCAUUUCUAAACCAAUCAUUGGCAAAGUGAGUGGAAUUGACUUGAUUAGAUUAACUUUACCAAGAAUGCAUCCUCAGAGAGGCUGAGAAAAAGUCCAGCCUCCUUUGAAGAGCCUGGCUACCUUUCACCUGAACAAAACAAGAAUUCUGAUGAAAAGAAAAAUGGAGAAUGUAUGUGGAGCAGGCAUCCGGAGUGUCUAUGCCAGGAUUUUUUUUUUUCAGUGCGUUUCACCGGUUAUAUUUUUGUCUCUUUACCUUACAAGAUAUGUGGCACGUUUGCCUAAAACAAGCCUUGCUUUCUGAUUUCUGUGCACUAGGCACUUAAACCUUGCAAAUGUCGCUUACCUAACAGUCACUGUCAAGGAGUACCUGGCUAAAGAAUCUCCAGCUAGACAAAGUAGAAGUGUCUGUGCUCUGGCAGUUGAAUAUAUUGUAUCAGGCUCAACAGCACCUUUCACCAAAGGAUGAGACUUCACAACCAUUAGAUCUUCUUUUAUUUUGUUUUUAUUAAAAAAAAAAAAUUUUAACACACCAUUGCUAACUUGAAGCCAUUAGAUCUUCUUACCCCCAAUACCACAAAAGUUUAGUGGAAUCAGGGGUAUAUCAAGGCAGGUGGAGUAGGGGAGCUGGGAGUAAUCAGCCCCCAGGGCAGGCAAUGAGGGAUUGUGAAUCUGUGAAGAAUUUUAAAGCAAUGAUACAGCUCUAAAUGCGAUGUACUAUCCUGGACUUAGCCCUGGAAAAGAAAAAAGAUAUUAGUGGAAAAACUGGUAAAAUUCAAAUAAUGUCUGUAGUUUGGUUAAUAGUAUUAUACCAAUGUUAAUUUCUGUGUUUUGAUAAAUGUACCAUGGUUAUGUAAGCUGGAUGAAAGAUAUGUGGGACAUCUCUCUACUAUUUCUGCAACUCUCCUGUAAACCUAAAAAUAUUUCAAAAUAAAAGAUUUAAUGCUAAAA
Gorilla gorilla gorilla (western lowland gorilla) is the source of this 2584-nucleotide long non-coding RNA. RefSeq lists it as uncharacterized. The transcript has 3 exons. The record is from RefSeq and is a predicted model, not a curated record. NCBI's taxonomy places the organism in Eukaryota, Metazoa, Chordata, Mammalia, Primates, Hominidae.